This 34-nucleotide non-coding RNA is filed under the name Kordia algicida OT-1. Lineage: Bacteria; Pseudomonadati; Bacteroidota; Flavobacteriia; Flavobacteriales; Flavobacteriaceae. The record is from RNAcentral.
ACGGGCGUUGCCGAAAACCCUUCAAGAGUAGGCA